Molecule: long non-coding RNA, 367 nt
Organism: Xenopus laevis (African clawed frog)
Lineage: Eukaryota; Metazoa; Chordata; Amphibia; Anura; Pipidae
Exons: 3
Source: RefSeq, a predicted model, not a curated record
GAUAGUAUCAUCAGUUGCAGGUUGUACUGUAUCUUACUCUGGUUCCGUCGUCACAGCCGGUGGAAAGUCUUCUGCUGUGUUUUCUGGAUGAGUUGAGCCGAUGUUCACUUCAUCCGCAGACAUCUCACUAUAGGGAAAAUAAUCACUAAAACUGUUGGCCAAGCCCUCCAGCUCCAGUGAGGAGUAAAUCUGCUGGUGUCAGUAGCUGCUACUUCUCAAUCUCUCUCUGCGCUGAAAUGUCACCAGGCUCAAGAUUUUAUUCUCCACUGCCUUACCGGAUUGGUAGCACGAAUGCAGGAAUUCCGGACACCCAUCUUGAGACUCCUGUAAUGGGAAAUAAACAUUGUCAGUGCUGGUAUGGGGAUAA